This 16895-nucleotide long non-coding RNA is filed under the name Phaseolus vulgaris (common bean). Its description in RNAcentral is "long non-coding RNA (PVUL_LNC000839)". Lineage: Eukaryota; Viridiplantae; Streptophyta; Magnoliopsida; Fabales; Fabaceae. The record is from RNAcentral.
UGAGUACACUCAUCAUUACGAAAACCUAACAGGAAGAAAAGUCUGGCAUGUGGGCCCCAUCCACCACAUGGUGGAACAAAGCAUUAAGAAACCUGUGAUUGUCAACGAGACCAGACACGAGUCUCUCACGUGGCUUGACUCAAAGGAGAAAGACUCGGUUCUCUAUGUUUGUUUCGGAAGCCUCACUCUUCUUUCCGACAAGCAGCUUCAUGAACUGGCCACCGCCCUGGAUGCUUCCGGACACUCUUUCAUCUUGGUGGUUCACCGGAAAAACAAAGAGGACCAUGAGGAAGAGAAGUGGAUGCCGGAGGGGUUUGAGGAGAAAAUAGGGAAGGAGAAGAGAGGGCUGUUGAUUAAGGGGUGGGUGCCGCAGUCUUUGAUCUUGAGCCACUCUGCUGUGGGAGGGUUUUUGACGCACUGUGGGUGGAACUCGGUGGCGGAGGCCAUCAGUGCUGGUGUUCCGAUGGUGACCAUGCCGGUGUUCAGUGAUCAGUAUUAUAAUGAGAAGCUAAUAACGGAGGUGCACGGGUUUGGGGUGGAGGUGGGUGCGGCGGAGUGGAGCAUUUCGCCGUACGAGGGGGAGGAGGAGGUGGUGAGUGGGGAGAGAAUAAAGGAGGCCGUGAAGAGAUUGAUGGAUAAAGGAGAUGAAGGGGAGAAGAUAAGGAAGAAGACGAAGGAGAUGAAAGAGAAAGCAUGGAGCGCUGUUGAAGAAGGUGGAUCCUCACAGAAUAGUAUCACUGCUCUCUUGGAUCAUCUCAAACUUCUCUUGCCUAAAUAGGCUAACGACUCUUCACAUCCCAAUUAUUACUCCUCUUCAUCUCUCCUUUUACCGGGACGAAAUUUUUCUUUUUCUUUUCCAUUUUUAUCGGAGUGCUUUUUACGAUGUUCUUGUCAGAAAAAUAUCACUAUUUUUAAAUUAUAAUUUGGAAUUGCAUUGUGAUACAUGGAUUACUGCAACCAAAAUGUUUUGUUAAUCAUUAACAAUAUGUUCACUAACACGUAUUUAACGCUUUACACGUGAUAUUGAGGGAGGAUGAUAUUGCAAUCACAAUCAGACCCAUUAUAAGGGUAUGUGGACCCAUUUGGUUAAGGGUGUGUAUAGAUCAGGAAGAAAGGAGAGAAUUUAAGAAAGUGAUUAGAGAUGAAAGUGUGAGGAAAGUUAUGUUGUUUAGAUUAAGGUAUAUGUAGAGUAAAUUUUUAGAAAAGGUUUAUUAAAAUUUGUGAGUGAUGUGAUGUAUGUAGUAAGAUUUUUAAUUUUUUAAAAUAUUAGAAUGUAAAUUUAUAAAUUUAUCCUAAUUUUUAAAAAGGAAAAAUAAAUUUUAGUAAUUAAAAUUUUGUAUAUUUUUUUAUUUAUUAUAAAUAAUUUUUUAUUAUUAUUAAUUAUUAGUAUUUAUAUUUUAAUAAUAUUAUUAAAUAUUUUUAUUGUUUAAAUUUAUUUAAUAUUUAAUAUUUUUAUUGUUAAUAUUAUUAUUUAGUAAAUUUAUUUUAAUUAUUAUUAUUUAUAAUUUUAUUACUUUUUUUUAUAUUAUUAUUAUUUUUAAUUUUACGUAUAUUAUUAUUAUUUUAUAAUUUUUAUAUUUAUAUUAUUAAUUUAUUUCUUUUAUUAUUAUUAUAUAAAUAUAUUUAAAUUAUUAUAUAAAUAUAUUUAUAUUAUUAUUAUAUAAAUAUAUUAGUUUAUUAUUAUUAUUAUAUUAUAUUCUUCCUAAUUCUUUGCUUUUCUUCGCAUUGGCGCAGGAUGUAAUUUCCUUCUUCUCCUGCAUAUGAGCUCUUUUCAUUCUUCAUAAUUGACUGGAAACAAACGUGAAAUUCUCUUGCAAAUCAUUGCCUUUCAAUCCGAGUGAAUAGUAUUCACUCAGAUCCAAACACAACCUAAAUGAUUAUAUCUAAAAGGAUCUCUUUUAUUCUUUGUAGGGAUUAGACCCCCUUUUCUGUUAGGAUUAUUUGUUAUAGUUUUUCAGUAUUUUCAGCACAAUUGUCUAUUAGAACAAAUAGCUUUUCAAAGGGUAUUUUAUAUAUCCUACUAGACUAGGAGAGUAUGCAUGUUUUUGGUUAUGUUAUUUUUAUCCUAAAAGUUGUUUUUUUAUUCUUUUAUAUCUCUAUCCCAACACUUUUUGUUCUUCCCCAUCCCCGCUCCAUCACUGUAUCAAUUUGGUGUUUUCAUUGAACCUAUCUCCAUGCCUCCCAAAUCAAUCAAAGAUUUAGAGGAAACCCUCCAAACCAUUUUAGACAAACUAGCCCAACUCCAAACCCAAAUCCAACAAACUCAUGACGUUAGAGGUGGGGGUCGAGUCUUGGGCCUCACACCUGAGAUGAUCCUCAAUUGUUUUAUUUCAGGUUUGGUCCCAGAAAUCAGAAGAGAGAUUUUUGUUCUUCAACCUACCUCAAUCACCCAAGCCAUGGGCCUUGCGAAGCUCUUGGAAUCUAAAAUCCAUGAUUCAAGGAAAUAUUACCGUAACCCAUCAUUCCACAACCAUCCCCCCAUCUUUUACCACCACCAUGUCCCCUUUUCCAACCCCAAACAAAAACCACUGCACUCACCUCUACUUAUAAAAAAACUUUCAUCCACCUAAUUACAAGAACGUAGAGCAGCCGGCUUAUGUUACAAUUGUGACGGAAAAAAAAAUUCCUGGUCACAAAUGUAUCACCAAACGUUUCUUAAGACUUCUUAAUGAAGAACCUACACCAGAAACCCCCUCCUCCCCCCCCCCCCCCCCCCAAACCCCUUCCACAGUCUUAGAUAUUGUUUCUGACACUGAUGACCCUACUCCUGUACACCUAUCUCUCCAGGCCUUUUCUGGAACCCCCUCGGCCUACACCUUCAAACUUCAGGGGUUUAUUCAUCAUACACUCGUUACCAUUUUAAUAGACACUGGGAGUUCACACAAUAUCCUCCAACCUCGCCUAGCCCAUCACCUCAACCUUUGCACCCUUCCUAUUAAACCUUUUUCCAUCAUGGUUGGAAACGACGAAAAAUUCAUUGCACACAUCUCAAUCCUACAGUUACUGUUUCUAUACAAAAUCAUUUUUUUUCCAUCCCAUUUUACCUCAUCCCAAUUGAAGGAGCAGAUGUAGUCCUAGGAAUGGACUGGUUGCGCUGCCUCGGACCCCUACAAGCAGAUUUCUCUACACCACAACCCUCUUUCCAUCAGCAAGGCACCCUCAUAACCCUAGUUGGAACCAUCAAACUCUUAGACACACACGCUUCUGUCACCAAUAUUUGUCACCUCCUACAUACCAAAGCCAUAACAUGACUUCAUUUGCUCACCUUUCAACCGGAUCCCUUACCAUGCCCCAACCCUUCCCCACCAAGUAUACACCCCACGAUUCAAACCCUACUCCAUACAUACCAUUCAUUUUUCUCACCUCCUCACGGGUUGCCUCCCCACCUCCCCCAUGACCAUCACAUUCCCUUGAUCCCAAACUCCACCCGUAUAAAUAUCAAACCCUACCGUUAUCCCCACACCCACAAACACACUAUGACUUCUCUCAUUCAAGAAAUGUUAUAUGAGGGCAUCAUAUGACCAAGUACCAGCCCCUUCUCUUCCCCUAUCAUACCCAUAAAAAAAAAGAUGGAUCAUAGAGAUUUUGUGUGGAUUACAUGGCUCUAAAUGUUAUCACGGUGAAGGAUAGAUUUCCUAUCCCCACGAUUGAGGAACUCUUGGAUGAAUUAACUGAGGCACGCGUGUUCACUAAGCUAGACUUAAGAUCUAGCUAUCACCAAAUACGGGUAAACCCCACAGACUGCAACAAGACAGCUUUUUGAACCUUUGAUGGUCAUUAUGAGUUUUUAGUUAUGUCAUUUGGCUUAUCUAAUGCUCCGUCUACCUUUCAAGCUGCAAUGAAUGACCUCUUCUAACCUUAUCUAAGGCGUUUUAUACUAGUUUUCUUUGAUGACAUCUUAAUUUAUAGUACAUCCAUGACAGACCAUAUUCAACAUCUCAACAUUGUUCUCCAAUUACUUCAGACUCACCAGUUUUUUGUUAAAGAAUCAAAAUGCAAUUUUGCAGCCCCUACAAUUGCCUAUUUGGGCAAUAUCAUUCAACAGGGAACGGUUUCCCCGGAUUCAUAAAAAAUUCAAGCUAUUCUACAGUGGCCCGAGCCCAAAUCAUUCACUACGUUGCGUGCGUUUUUUGGCAUUACGGGGUUUUAUCGGAAGUUUAUUCACGGAUAUGCCACUCUUGCCUCUCUACUCACGGAUUUACUCAAAUUGAAAGUUUUUACAUGGAAUCACAUGGCCAACACAACCUUUCUACAGUUCAAAAAUAUCCUAACUACACCUCCUAUCUUGAACCUCCCUGAUUUCACCAUUCCUUUUGUAGUAGAAACAAACACUUCCAAUUUCGUCAUUGGAGUUGUUUUAUCUCAAGCAGGGCACCUUAUUGCCUUCUUCAGUAAGAAGCUAUGUCCAAAGAAACAAAGCAGUUCAGUAUACGUUAAAGAGAUGCUAGCAAUUGCUGAAUCUGUUAAGAAAUGGAGGCACUAUCUCAUUGGCAAUCACUUUCAAAUUAUCACAGACCAACAAAGUUUAAGGGGAUUACUUACCAGCACUUGCCAUACACCGGAACAACAAAAAUGGGCUUCACGACUUAUUGGGUACAGUUUUGAUAUCCUUUAUCGGCCCGGACGUCACAACCAAGUUGUUGAUUUCCUUUCCAGGCUACCACCCUCAGUUUUCUUAACCAUCUCUUCCCCACUACCCGAGCUCAUCACCAAAUUAAAAAAAUACUAUUAGACAACAAAUGGACAACAAGAAAAAACAAAAUUGAUAGGUAUUCUCAAUUCAAAUUUCAAUUUUCACAAUGACUUACUGUACCACGGCCAGAACUUUACAUUCCAUCAGCAAUCAACCUCCGCCCAUCCAUUCUUCACGAGUUUCAUGCAACCCCAUCCGCAGGGCAUUCCAGUCUCAAAGCCACUCUAGCUCGUUAAGCUGCCUCUUUCUAUUGGUUAGGUAUGUACAAAGACACAAAAUUGUUCAUCAAAGAGUGUCUCCCCUGCCAACAGAACAAACCCAUCAACAAAAAUCCUUAGGAUUAUUACAACCCCCCCCAACCAGAAUUUGGGAUGAACUAACAACUAAUUUUAUUACCCACUUACCAUCAUCUUUCGGCCAUACGGUUAUUUUGGUGGUCUGUGACCGACUUUCAAAAUCAGCUCAUUUCAUAGCCCUCCCCACAUCCUUCACCGCCUUCCAUCUAGCCAAUCAUUUUUCUGUGGAGAUCUAUAGGUUGCAUGGCAUUCCGAAGUCCAUAAUCUCAAACUGAGACCCGCUCUUCCUCAGUAACUUCUGGAAUGAGCUUUUUCACCUACAAGGCACAAAACUGAAAUUUAGUACGGUUUAUCACCCUCAGAUAGAUGGUCAAACCGAGGUUAUCAACAAAAGUUUAGAGAUAUACCUUCGGUGUUUCACCAGUGACCAUCUGCGGAGUUGGUACAAAUACUUACACCUCGUCGAGUUUUGGUACAAUUCUUCUUACCAUUCGGCCAUCAAAACAACCCCGUUCCAAGCAUUCUAUGGAAGACCACCACCAUCUAUCCCGGAUUAUGUGUCCGGUACUGCAUCAGAACCCAAUCUGGAAACCACCCUCAAAGAGCGAACGCAGAUAUUGCAUCAGUUGAAGACAAAUUUGCCGUUGUCACAACAACACAUGGCCAAGACAGCGAACAUUGGACGACGUCAUUAUGUUUUCAUCGUCAGCGAUUGGGUACUCCUCCGACGAAAGGCUUACCGCCAAACAUCCCUCACCGGCUCCCCUCACCACAAGCUUUCCCGAAAAUUCUAUGGCCCAUACCCUAUUACCAAACACAUUGGUGAAGUGGCUUAUGAAUUAGCUCUCCCACCAGAUUUCAAGAUUCACCCAGUAUUUCACAUAUCUCUUCUCAAACCAUAUCAUGGACCAAAACCCCCUCUACCCCACCACCCUCCCAAUUAGGAAAUAAACUCGCACCUUUUGCACCCUCCCAACAUAAACCUAAGUGAAACCUUAAGUGAGACUUCAAGCUCGCCUAACACAAUCCUAAUGCCAUCCACACACGCCACGUGUCCUCCAUCAGGAGCCCUCAUUAAACCCCUCCACCAACCAGCCACCUCUGCUUCACGGACCCAUUUACUCCCACAACUACCCUCACCUACCCAUUUACUUCCACAAGUAAAUGCACCUAACCAUCUACCCACACCAUCAAUGCACGCCACGCCAUCUCCAUCAAUGACCCACACUGUACCACGUCAUCAACACCCUGCAACACCUUCACGUGACUCUGUGCCACAUUCAAUACAAGUAGUUGGCACGCACCCCCUUUCAACGUUACAAAACCCUUCCCAUUCCCAACAUUUCCCUUUGGGCUUCACAUGUCAUUCUACAACCCACUCUCAACCCCCUUUGCUAACACCACACCCCAACAUGACCCAAAAGCCCGCACCAAACCCAACACACUUUCCCAAUAUAUUCCCACCCUCUCACAUCUACCCCCACACCACAGAAAUUACCUUGGCCCACCAACCACCACCCACAUCAAAUAUUCCAACAUUUUUUCCCCAAACAAGCUCCCACCAAAAAAAUAGCGUGGCCCAAUCCUUCUCCCCCCAAACACCAACAUUCGCUCUCAAUAAAACAAUAACCACACCACCCCGUUUUACCUUCCGCACCCCUAGUUCCUAUACCACCGUGUCAUCCACCACAACUCCUCCACCAAGUUCAUCAAUCUCAAACGUUGAGGACAAGGUUACUCUGCAAGGGUCGACUAUUGAUACUGGACUCACAACCACAAGGCUCAUUAGAAGGGUAUCUAGGCCCAUUUGGUUAAAUGACUAUAUCUAAAAGAAUCUCUUUUGUCCUUUGUAGGGAAUGGAUCCCCUUUUCUGUUAGGAUUUUAUGUUAUAGCUUUUCAGUAUUUUCAGCACAGCUGUCUAUUAGGACAAAUAGCUUCUCAAAGGGUAUUAUAUAUCCCACUAGACUAGGAGAGUAUGCAUGUUCUUGGUUAUGUACUUUUAUCCUAAAAGUUGUUUUUUUUUUAUUUUGUUAUAUCUCUAUCCCAACACUUAUUUUUCUAGCUUUCUUUGUGUUCUUCCUCAUCCCCGCUCCAUCACUGUAUCAAAGGAUGUGGUAAUGGAGUUCUUUAUAAUUGUGAUGGGAGUGAUGUGGCAAGAAGAAUACUUUUGUAACAAUGUUAGGGUUUAGGCAUUAUUACACUCAAUGAAUAUGAGUGUUUUUUUCUACGUGAUGUUUUAAUAGAGCGUACAUAAUCGUAAUGGAGAAAGGGAGGUUAUGAUAAUUUGAUCAUCUAAUUAAUUUGUUGAGAAUUUAUGUUAUGUAACAUGCUAUUUAAAUAUUUUGUGUAAAAGAGAAACUAAUAUAUAUUGUGUUAUUUGAUUAUAGUGUAUUUUGUUAGGUAUUGUGAAAAUUAGGAAAAUAUCAAGAAGGGAGGGUUGAAUGUUUAUAGUCGUUGGGCAACUUCAACUUCUAUAAAUGUUCAUUUUACGUCUAACGAGCUUUAAUAUGAUCUUUGCAUUUAGUACAACUUUGAUUUUCGCGCAUUUCUCUUUGCAACAUCCUUGAUAACUAACAAUGUUGAUCUCCUAAGUAGCAUAGUCUUUAGCACCAAUUUAUGGUUACAGUGCAUUCUAUACAUGAAAAAUAAUCAGGUUAGAUUUGAAAGACUCCUUGUGUCAAGAGGUUCAUGAUGAAAAUAACUUUAACUUGUGUCUCGAAAAGUCUUUGAUAUUUGUUUUAUAUUUGAUGUUGAACGGAUUUCAUUGGCAAACAGACAUUCUCUGCAAAUAUAGAGUAAGCAUAAGAUUUUCUUAUCCUACGUGUACCGUCUAUUGAUGUUUAGUGUGCACUUUGUUUAUUCUUAUGUGCACCUUAUCAGACUUUGAGAAAAGAUUGUACAAUGUUGUAUCAUUUGUCAGAUGAAAUACUUGCAUCUUACCUGAUUUGUUGUUUUUAAGCACUAAUUAACAUCUUAGGAUGUCAAACUUUUGUUGUAUAAUUUUUUUAAAAAGCAUGAUUGGUAUGCAAGAUGAGUCAAACAAAAUAGCCAAUAAAUUUGUUGGGAUCAACCUGUUUUGACCCAUUUAUGACACUUCAAAUGUGGUGCAACCCAUUUCUUUGAUAUCAAAUUAGAUGAAAGGAAGAAAAAAGAGAUACAAACACAUGUCUCAAUAAAUACUACACCCAAUUCUUUGGUAAUUCGUAAAGUUUUAUUAAUCAACAAGUGUAACAUGGAUAUUAUUCAAUUACAACUCUUAACUUACGAUACAAAUAUCUUUUAUGAGUUUUUCUUCAAUAUUUUACAAAUAUUUUUUAUUGAGUCACUCUUAGAUGUGUAAAAAAAAUUUGACAAACAAGACACUUUUAACUUACAAUGCAAAAAUAGUUAAAAUUAUAUAUAAACACUAAGGUUAAAUAGACAAAAGUUUCAAUUGAUUCUAGACUAAUACAAUUAUAAGCUCACUUUAUAUCAGAAGUUACUCUAAAAAAAUAUUUCAAUGGUGAUUUUUUACAGAGAAAAAACAAUUCAAAAGACUAUUUAAAAAAAACUUCAAAACUUGAUGUAUAACUAUUCUAUUACUAUAUAUUUUCUUGUGUAUGUAUUCUUGUUUUUUCAGUUUCUUUAUAUACUUGAUGCGGAUAAAAUUAGUUGUUAAGAUUGACUGUUUUUCUUUAUGACUUCUUCAACUUUAGACUUAUUUUUCAUGAAAUUGUUCUUCUACUACAAGAAAAAGUAUAUUUAACUGCAAAAAAAAGAGUGAGGGUGGCAUGUGGACACUAAAUAGUGUCAAAUAUGCCUUCACACUACAAAAAAAAAAUCAUAUAUAAAAUGACGAUUUUAAUAUGGCGGUUAUUACUAAUCGUCACAAAUUUCCGUAUAAUAUGACAUUUUAGUAACCGUCACAAUUAUCCUUUAAAAUAUGUCAUUUUUAACUGUCAUAAUUAUCCUUUAAAAUAAAAUUCCCGCAUUUUUUUUAAAACUUGCUUUUAACACCGAAUGCACUAACUCUUCACACUUUUCAUACACCUCUCUUCCCUCUCUCUGUAAGCUGCCAUCUCUCUCUGUAAGUUGCCUUCACAAAACUCUUUUGCCUUCACGAAACACUCUCACCUUCAGUCACUCUCGCGCGCCCUAAACCCUCACUCUCGCGCCUUUCACUGUCCGUCAUCGCCACCUCGUCACGCCCUUCAUUGUCCGCCAUCGCCGCCUCCUCGCGCGCAAGGAUUUGAAACUUUUGUCUAGGUUUGUGAUCAGGUUUAGUGUCGUCUUCAUCUUCGUCUUCGCUUGCUGCAAAAGCUAGCAAAGCUUAUUUGGCGCGUCACGACUCAUCCAUGUCCUCUCUCUAUGGUCUCUCCUCUGCUUCUGCUUCUCCGACAACUCCUUUUGAACCCAUUCCAACUCCUCAUCCUUCCUCCAAGGUCCACUUCUCUCUUUAGAAAAUAUGAAAAUUCUGAUGUAUAUGCUAAGUGUGAUUGUACUAUUUUGAUUUCAAUUUGUUCGUUGUAUAUUAUUGCUCAUGAGAUGUCUGCUGGAUAGGGUUUAUUGAAUAUUUUUUUAUCGAGCGAGAAGAAAAUAAGAGAAAUCUUCUUAAAUGGAGAAUAGGCAAAGGGAAAUAGAGUAGUUUAGUUUAAAAGAGCUUCGUAAAAUCUCUGCAUCAAUGAAUGUGUUAAAGAAAUCCUGUUAAAGUAAUGGUACGAACUAUGGAAAAGUGGGGAACACUUCCUAUGCUAGUGAAACAUCAUAACUGUAUUUGGAUGUUGUGAGGUAGUUGUUGAUGCGCAUUGUUUCCUGUGCAAUCCUGUGAAGCUCGGAUACAGCAAAAAUCACGCUGUUACCGCUUCCGACACGCUUCCGACACGGGUGCGCGGUGGGUGCGUGCACGACGCGGUGUCGGACGCACCUGCCUGGGCCGGAUACGGCCCUCUUCCAGGACACGUCGGAGGAGACGCGGUCCACUCCUUCGACACGGCGGAUGGCGCGCGGUCCACUCCUGGGACACGGCGGACGGACGGCGGACGGACACGGUGCACUCUUUAAACCCUUAUUUCACAGAAAAUCUUAACUAAAAUCUCAAAUAAAAUCCUUAUUUCACAGAAAAUCUUAACUAAAAUCUCAAAUAAAACCCUUAUUUCACAGAAAAUCUUAACUAAAAUCUAAAAUAAAACCCUUAUUUCACAUAAAAUCUUAACUAAAAUAUCAAAUAAAACCCUUAUUUCACAUAAAAUCUUAACUAAAAUCUCAAAUAAAAUCAUAAAAUCUUAAACAAAUCAUUUAAAUAAAAAUAUAUAUAUAAAUCUUUAAAAAUUCCAGAAAUAAAAAAGAAAAUUAAGAAUAAAUAAUAUAUUUUAUUUUAAAAAAAAUUAUAAUUUGAAAAAUAAACUUUAUAAAUAUGAGUUAGAACCAGUGCAUUGGUGAACUCAAGUGGAUUUUUAUAAAUGUUUUUCUUGAUUUUUUUCAUAUAACAAAAUAUAUUACUACAUUUUAAUUUAUACAUAGCCGUGUCCCGUGUCCUAUAAUUUUCAAUUUAGCCGUAUCUCCGUGUUCGUGUCCGUAUCCGUUCCUGUACCCGUGUCUGGGCUUCAUAGGUGCAAUCGCAAAAAGUGGUGCAGGGAAAUGGAGGUCUUCUUAGAUUUUAGGGUUCGUGUUGUUGUUAUGUAGUGUAGCAUACAGGGUGUUAUCAUUCUUCAGUUUCAUAUUGUGGUUGCAAUACGAGCAGGGUGUGAAAGUGAUAUCAACUUUAGCAAAAGUAGUCAAAACCUUGUGUAUGUAAACGCUGUCAACUUAAAACCUCCACAGUACCUUCGUAUUAGCAACUUUUGAUCUUUAGGAUUGCAGUGUUUGUGUAUAGCUCUGUAUUUUUCUAAGUGUGCCUUCUCAUCUUUUGUAUAAUUCUCCCUCGUUUGGUGAAUUCUUUUAUUAGUUUUUUGCCCCUAAUUUAGGUCAGCUGCUUCUUUUAAUUGUUGAUGUCUGGAUAAUUCCAAUUCCGAAAUUGGUUAUUACUUAAAAGUAAAAAGUGGAUGAGUCUGUUACAACUAAUUCUGAUUUAAUUUUAUUUUUUUAUGAGUGAAUCCGUUAAGGUUGGAAGUUCAUUUCAAGGUAUGCAUACUUUUUAUGUCUCUUUUAAUGUGUAUUCUUAGUAUUUAGAGUAUCACUAUGUUGAUUCAAAAUAAUAGUCAUUUUGUGGUGCUGUAUAUAUAGGAUUCAAGACCCUAUGAAUAUACAUCCAUGAAGAACAUGAACGAGUCCAAGAAUGGAUUUUGGGGUGUUCUAGCCAGAAAAGCCAAGUCAAUUAUCGAGGAUGAUAAUGUACCCCAGCAAUCUGAAAUGGGUGGAGUGGGAAGGUCACAAUUUCCUGGUGUAGCAUCUAGGGGCAAGGUGAGUUUAGAAUAAUAUCUCAAAUUCUCAGCAGAGAUGUUGCUUAGAAUGUUAUAUCUAGAAAAUAAAAGUCAAUUAAAUAUCAAAUCAAUCAUGUGUCAUAUUCAUGUGAAUAUGUGAGAGUUCUCGAUUAGCUUCAACACUCAACAGGUUUCUGAAGUUAUCAGAUAACAAGGGAUUGUUGACGACCCUUGUUAUAGAUGCAAUCAUAUAUUCGAACUGAAACCAAAUUAUUGUUUUGAACAUUUAGCAUUCGUCCGAGCUUUUACUUUUUAAUAUUAUUUUGUUCUUUUCUACAAUCUAAAGUCCCAAUAGAGCAAGAAUUUAAGGCUAUUUCUGAAUGAUGUUAGUCAAAGUUGUCUUAUGGAAUGAUAUUUAUUAAUUUAAAGUUAUAGAACAAAUUAGAGAACUAGACAAAAAGCAUAAUUUUGGCACAAAGUAAACGAUGAAUGCUAAGGUAUCAUUUGUGUACAUAAAAGCAAACACAAAUAACUUACUGAUUUUCAUCUCACUUUUGGUGCAGACAGAACGGUGGCAGAAAAAAGGAAAGAUGAUUAGAAAGGAAAGCAAUAAAAGCAAUAAACAAAUAUGCAGAUAGAAAAUGAGUUUCUGACUAAGGUAAGCAUCAUUGGAAAGUUUAACUACAUGAACUUAAUAUGCAUGUUUGGGAUAGUGCAUAGGUUGUUGGUUUAUGAGUACAUGGAGAAUGGUUAUUUACCUUAGACCCUUUCAUCAGGUUCAAAUACACUUCAAUGGAGCAAAAGGUAUAACAUUGCCCUAGGGACCGCAAGGGUGUUCAUGGACUAAAUAAAAAUAUUUUAAUAGAUUUAGAAGAAACUGAAACUUGCAUCCAAAGAAAAAAAAUUAAGAAUUUAAAAUUAUUCAAACAUAUACUAACAUUGUUUGUUAAUUUAAAAUUAUAUAUUGAUAUAUUUUUUCUGUAAAAUAUUAAGAUAUUAUUUCUCUUAUUUUAGUUUCAUUAACCUAGUUUUAUAUUAUUAUUUUUACUCUAGUGGAGGAAUUUAGCACGGGUAGGUGAAUAGGAAAUCAAAGCAUGCAUGAAUGUAUACACCUGUUUGGCACUCGUUAAUUUCCAGCCAUAUAUGCUACUUAAAUAUAUUUCAUGCCACCUACUUCUUUCGUUUUCAUCUUUUAUUUUAUAAUUAUAAAUAUUGAAAAUUCUUAACAUCAAAUUAUUUAUUAUUUAUUUUAGGUAACAGAUGUUGGAAGUGUUGCUCCAUCACCUUAUCAAGUAAUAAGAUCAAGUGCAUAAAGUAAAAUUGAUCAAGGAAGAUGGAAAAGAAAACUAAUUAGGGAUGAACAUGUUGUAAUAGUUUGAAUGUUCUAUGAUAUUUAAAAAUAUUGUGGUUUCUUUACUUUUGAACAAUUAUGUAUCAACUUGUUCUAAUUUUCAAAUGAUAUAAUGUGUGUUUCUAAUUUAUGCUUAUAAAUUUUUAUAGUAUUUCAUUUUAUUAACAUUUAUAUUUUUUAUUAUGAAAACAUAUUUAAUUAAAUACUAUUAUAAUUAAAUAUGUUUAGUUGUUUAAUUAUACAAACUAGAUUAUAAAAAAAUAUCGGCUAAAUUUCAUUUUUUUAGAAUGAAAAUUAUUUCAGUUCAAAACGUCAUAAUAUACCUUAUCUAAUGGUGUCAAAAAUAUUUUUUAAUGAAUUAAAUUGCGACAGUUAUAACUGACACUACUUAGCAAGUUCUAUGGUGGUUUGAAAAAUCGUCACACAUGUAUAUUGUGGCGGUUAUAAACGUUAGUUUAUACGAAAAUAACCGCCACAAUAUACACUAUUUUUUGUAGUGUCACUAUUAAAAAAAUCAAAUAAAAUAUGAGAAAGCGUGGGUUAUACUCACGCAAACUUAAAAAAAAAUAAAAAAAGGUUGCGUUGGUCAAACGGUCACUACUGAAAAUAUAAAUAAUAAUAAAAUUUUAAAUUUUUGAAGGUUAAGCCCACGAUAUGCCUUUAAAGGUUAAGCUCACGCUAUGCUACUUAAAGUUUUGAAGGUUUACCCACGCUAUGUAUUUUAAAAUUAAAAAUAAUAAAAUUAUGAAGGUCAACGUACACAAAUAAUUAAUUUAUUUGAAAACUUCUAAUUGUUUGGGUGUUUGAAAACUGCAUAACGUACACAUAACGAACUCGAAUGUCAGCUUGAGCAUUUUCGACUGAUGAGAGCAUUUUCGAUUGCGAGCUUGAACAUUUUCGAGCGCUUGAGUAGUGCGACCGUGAAAAUGUGCGACAAUCGUGAGUUUCACAUUUCCUUUUUUAAUCUUUGUGUAUUGAAGACUCAACCCUAGGUUCUUGAUUUCUCUCUGUGUUUUUUGGAGUUCUUGAUAUUCAAUGGUUUGAAGGUAUAACCCUAACACAUUAUUUCCUUCUCAAUGAUUUUCUGUGUUUUUGAAGUUCUUGAUUUUCAUGGAUUGUGUUUGCUUAUGUGGUGAUGCACGCUCACUUUUGUGUUAUUGAGCAUUUGAUGUAGUUUUGUUACCCAUUUUUCCUUCUAUUCUUUGAUUUUGCACUGUUUGAUUUAAGGGGUUGAUAUCCAACCCUAAUAGUAAUGUUUUUUGGGGUGGGUUUCAAUUUCAAUUUACAUAUUUAAGGGUGAUUCUGGUGACCAACAUGUCAACUUAAAAAUAUUAGUUCAUCUCAAAUCAGAUCUAGUGAGACUAUGAGUGAAUCUGUUUGACAAUGAGCAGAGUUGUUCUUCUGCCAUAUGCAUCUGUAAAAUGGAAUUUGGAUUAGAUUUGAAUAAGUUACAGCUCUAUACUUCUUCAUUAUCUAUUAUUUUAAUAAGCAUUGUUUUCUUACACUCAAUGUUGAUUUCAUAAUAAUGCUCAUGAAUCAUGAUUCUUGACUAUAAUUGUUGAUAUUGUCAGAAAACACCCGUCAUGUGUCGCCUGCACCCGCCAAUAUCUUUACGUCGACUACAUUAGCUUCGAAAUUCUCAUUAAUACUAAGCCCACGAUAAUUACCCUUUUGAGUCCGGUUUUUCAUGGUUAGAAUCCGUUCUUGGUAUAUGCUAAUAAACUUUUUUUUAAUGUUCCCAUUCAAAUGUUGAUGCAUUUUAAUACUUGAUAUAAAAUCAUAAAUGUUGCAUUAUGCAACUCUUAUAUGAAAUUGUAGGGUAAGAUAGUUGAUGCAAUUUAUUAGUCUUAGUUAAUGUAUUUUCUCUUAGGUGUUAUUUUGUUUUUGUAUGAUAACUUGUGAACUAGGUGGUGGAGCAGGUACAACAAUGCUUUGCAACAAAAACGUGUUUUUGAGAAGCUUUGUUAUGAUUUCUAAACGUUGUACCUUUACUGAGAAACAUUGUGUGACCUUCUUCAAAACCUGCAAACGAAAUGAACGAAAUAAACAAAAGAAACAUUAAUUUGUUCAAUAAAUCCUUUAAUAAACUUUCAUACACACGUCUACUAAACUAUGCGUCCAAAAGUUAUUCUUAUUUAUAAGUUUUUACUUAUGAGAGAGCCUCUGCAAAUAUUUAAGUAAAUAAUAUUUAAAUAUUUAGACAAAAAUAUUAUUUCUUUUUUCAAUUAUAUUAUGACGAAGAAUUGUUAAUAACAUCAGGCACAAUACUAAUUUCUUUUAAGUGAGAUAUAAUGACCAAUAAACUCUUCCACCUAUCAAUCACAUUAUAUAUAUAAAACAUGGAAAUAUGUCUUAAAUUUGAUAAGUUUCCUACAUCCAAUUCAGCAAAAUUUAAUUAAAAAAUUCAACUCCAACAUAUAUUAUUGGCAACCCUGGUCCUCAAUGGUGACAUUUUCAUAGCAUUUCCAUUUAUGUAAUCUAAAUACAACCUAAAAUGAUAUAUAUAAUAUAAUGAUUAGUAAUUAUACCUUUAAAGGGGUUAAGAUAUUAUUGGUUAUCAGCUGAACAAUUAAUUUCUUUUAAUCGAUCGUGUUUUUUACUUCGAUCGGAAAUACCACACAAAAGAAAUUAUCAAACGCUCAGUGAGUAUUUAAAUUUAGAUACUAUUAAUAUUAUAAUGAUGAUGUAUAUUUGUUUUUUCUGAUGUACUUGUUUAUUUCUAUGAUUGUAAUUGAAUUUAUUAGUGAUGGACAAUAAUUAAUGUAUAUAACUAUAAAAUAAAAUUUGUCACAUUUUGAUGUAUUCAUUCUAACACUAUAAGAUGACCGAAAAUUAUAGGUUCAUCUGACCAUGAGGGGGACCCUGACCGUAUGUAAUUGUUCAAAAUUAAAAAAAAAAAAAAACAAAAAACUUCCCACGAGGGCCACGCGUGUUAUAUUAUACUGUAACAUAAAGAAUGGUGUAAACCGUAUUAUAUAUUUAAAAAUACAUCACCUUUCUUGGAACUACAAUCCCCUGCUGUUAGAAACACAGCGCAUGAAGUUGCUGUUCAAUCUUUACCAUUCAUUCUAUGAUCUUGUUUUCAUGAAACUUCUAUAAACGAAUAUGAUAUUAAUCAGUGAAUCUGACGUCCAACUAUAGUAAUUGAUUUUGAUACAUCAAAGAACAAAAGACAUUCAUUAAUAUAUGUAAUGAAUCACGUGCUCCAUUCUUGGUUUAAUAAAUAUGCAAGCACGUGGCACUCGCGGAGACCAAAUAAUGAGAUAUAAAUAGCCACUCUUGGUCAUCGUCUUCUUCAUCAUCGUCAUCAUAAUCAGCAUCAGAGGAAGAGAAGAAGAAACAAUGGAGUCAGCAGGACCUUUGAAGAUAUACUUCCUCCCAUUCUUCGCACAAGGCCAUCAAAUCCCACUGGUUCAGCUCGCUCGCUUGAUUGCCGCACGUGGCCACCACGUCACAAUCGUCACCACUCCCGCCAACGCCCAACUCUUCCAAAAAACCAUCCACGACGACAUAGUCUCCGGCCACCACAUCCGCGUCCGCCUCAUCAAAUUCCCCAACACCCACCUCGGUCUACCGGAAGGCGUGGAAAAUCUCGUUUCAGCCACCACCAGCGCCACCGCCGGAAAAAUCCACAUGGCGGCGCACCUCAUCCAGUCUGAGGUCGAAGCUGCCCUGAAAGAGUCCCCUCCCGAUGUCUUCAUCCCUGACAUCCUCUUCACCUGGAGCAAGGACCUGUGCAAGAGUCUUCAAAUCCCGCGGCUCGUCUUCAACCCCAUAUCCAUCUUCGACGUGUGCAUGAUCCAGGCCAUUAAAGCCCACCCCGAAGCCUUUCUCUCCGAUUCGGGGCCCUACCAGAUUCCUGGUCUUCCCCACCCUCUCACUCUACCGGUGAAACCCUCGCCGGGUUUCGCAGCACUGACGGAAUCUCUUCUUGAAGGUGAAGAGGGGAGUCAUGGAGUUAUCGUGAACAGUUUCGCUGAACUCGACGCUGAGUACACUCAGCAUUACGAAAACCUGACAGGAAGAAAAGUGUGGCAUGUGGGCCCCAGCUCCCUCAUGGUGGAACAAAGCGUUAAGAAACCUGCCAUUGUCAACGAGACCAGACACGAGUCUCUGACGUGGCUUGACUCAAAGGAGAAAGACUCGGUUCUCUAUGUUUGCUUCGGAAGCCUCUCUCUUCUUUCGGACAAGCAGCUUUAUGAACUGGCCACCGCCCU